UUUUACGUCGACCCUCUUGAAACAAUGUCACGGCCGAACGAGGCAGGCUAACGAGGAAAAAAUCUGUCGCUGAUCGGGGCCGUUGCCAAUUAGUUCUCUUUACAAUUCACGAUAAUAAACUGGAAUAUUAAACAAAUCGCAGAGAAACUAAACAGAGAAAACGAGAAACAGAAAUAACGCGACAAAAGAAACUGUGUCAUAUAUAUGCUAAUGCAAAAGACGAAGAUUAAAAUAGCCGAUUUUUCGUAUCCAAUUCACCCUAUGAUCUCUGAUCUAAGAUCGCCUUAUGAUGCUCUCUCAUGCAUACGCUCGUUUGUCUCGCGCAAACGUGUACCAGCGACAGAAUAAAUCACGCCAGGCUCUUGCCAGGCUACGAGUCAGAUAACCAAAUAAGUUCCUCAGCUUUAUCGCGAAUCCCGGACAAAUCGUCGAAAUUUGGCACGACCAGAGGCAGCGGCCGCGAUCGUGAGUGGAUACGAGAAGCUAAAUGGAGCGGUAAAAGUGACCAGCGUCGGCCGAUAGCGUGCGUCCGCGCGUAAGCACGUAAUGGCUUCGAGAAUGGAACGAGGAGAAGGAAGAGGAACGGGUCGUUAAUAGCAAGACUGAGUGUAGGCCGCACGCAACGGCGAACAGGUCGUUCUCUGGAUACCGCAAAUUGCUUUGUUAUAUCUAUGUACGUAUCUUGAAUAUAUGCAUGAAGGAUCAUAGGGAGGACGACGAGACGAAGAUUUUUUCCCUGAUAAUCGAGAAACGCUCGAGGAAAUAGUAUAAACGCAGCCGGCCAAGACGAAAAGAGAGAAGGGAAAAAGACGAAGGGAGAAAAAGGGAACGAGUGGAAACGGUUGGUUGGUGGAGAAAGAGAAGAAAGGGAAGAUCAGGCAACAAAGGACGCGGAAUGGCUAGGAAAGUGUAUGUAGACGGCGCGGCGGAAAGAAGAAUGGUGCACGAAAACGACGGCAGGAUGAAUGUCCUUGUGGUCGAGCUGCGAUGGUACAGUCAUUAGAAUGUAUUGUGGCUCAACGGUUUGACACGCUCCCUUUUGCGACGCGCCGCUCCACAUACCUCCGGUUCUCGUUCUCCAGAAAGUUUAUCUCCGCCAAGACCUUUUCACUUUUACGCAGUGGCAGAUGCACAGAAUUGCGCGCCUGAUGCAUAUAAACCGGUCAUUCUAAUAUACUAAAUAAUAGGUAGCAGAGCGCUAUACUUUUGUUGAUCUUUUGUGGACCGUGGCUCGGUCAGCUCUGCUGUAAAGUGCUGAGAAUGCGUAGAUGGUAAAGGCACUCGUAGAUAGCAGAAGCAGACUAUCAGACUAUUUUGUAAAUUUUAUAGCUAUUAUCAUAAAUUAUUAUAAUCUUGGGUAAUGAUAUAACGGAAUCGUAGAAUCAAUCGAGGAAAUUAAUUCCUUAACAAUGGAAGUACUAUUAGAUUGUCCGAAAAGUUUCUUUCGUUUUAGGAAAUAUCAGACGCACAAUGUUUUUUGUUUUAUAUUAGUUUAUUGAAUUAUGCACGAACAUAAUAAUAGAAAUAAAAUGAAAUAGAUCAUACCUGAUUCAAUAAAAUAAUAUAAAACAGAAAUUGUUGUUCAUCUAUUAUCGCCUUAUGAAACGAAAGAAACUUUUCGGACAACCUAAUCCUUGGUGUUUCACGUCGAAUAAUCGUACUUCAAUCGAUAAAAACGAGA
RNAcentral lists this unclassified non-coding RNA (1681 nucleotides) under Bombus terrestris (buff-tailed bumblebee). RNAcentral describes it as "misc RNA ENSBTSG00005031112.1". The record is from RNAcentral. Lineage: Eukaryota; Metazoa; Arthropoda; Insecta; Hymenoptera; Apidae.